This 253-nucleotide ribosomal RNA is filed under the name uncultured bacterium. RNAcentral's name for it is "partial 16S ribosomal RNA". It matches the Rfam family "Bacterial small subunit ribosomal RNA", at positions 524 to 776 of the family's 1533-position model. The record is from RNAcentral.
UACGUAGGGUGCAAGCGUUGUCCGGAAUUAUUGGGCGUAAAGAGCUCGUAGGCGGUCUGUCGCGUCUGCUGUGAAAACUCGGGGCUUAACCCCGGGCCUGCAGUGGGUACGGGCAGACUAGAGUGCGGUAGGGGAGGCUGGAAUUCCUGGUGUAGCGGUGAAAUGCGCAGAUAUCAGGAGGAACACCGGUGGCGAAGGCGGGUCUCUGGGCCGUAACUGACGCUGAGGAGCGAAAGCGUGGGGAGCGAACAGG